GUUUUGUUUUUCAUCCCGCAGGGUGUCCAACAAACACCCUCCUCACCAAGCAAGCUUGGUGGGGUUGCCGUUUAGACGCCGACGGCCCGACCAUGCAACAGGUUGUACUCGAUUACAUGUUGUCAGUAGCACUCGAAAGAGACCUGACAUAAUAUAUAUAUAUAUAUUAUAUAUAUAUAUAUAUAUAUAUAUAUAUACAUACAAAGAGAGAGAGAGAGAUAAGAGCCACCACAUUUCCUGAUAGUGUCAAUGCCCGUUGGCACCGGCACCUGAGGCCUCGCCAAAGUUAUUCUGAUCGCCAGGAGACAAAUGUUAAAGUGAAUAUCCUACACUGCUAACAGUAUUUGGAAUAUAUGUAAAGGGUGUGUGUGCGUAUAUAUCCUCUGUGGAGAUCUAAAACAAAGUUUCCCACUCUCAGGGCCAACUUUUAUAGGAUCCAAAAUGCAUAAUGCAGGAACAGGUACCUGCACGUUGAAGUUCAUAGUGACAUUCAGUGUAGGUAUUUACCAGUGUUGGUGUCUUUGCAGUGAAAGUGAUAGAUCCAGUAAACCCCCAAGGCACUCACUACUUUCCCCAGCUGCCAGAUAUGAACUCUGUUGGAAACUGCCUUCAAUCUGAUUGUCACAUUGUUUUUCUCUCAGGAUGUUAUGUAAUCAAAUAGCCACAUGGCAGCAGGCUGGUUGUUAAGUGCCAGAGAAUAUCCAUCAUAAUGAAGCUGCACAUUAUCUCUGGGACCCACUGCUGCUUUGAGUUUCCCUACAACAGCCCCCACUUACUAUGUAUGUCUGUAGGGAGUCUAGUAAGAGUUUUAAUAGGGAAGAGAUUCUGUAUUCUCACACUAGACUGGUUCCAAGUUUAUCAUCCGGGCUUAAUUAACAGUGUUGAGCAAUAAGCUUUACUAAGGUAGUAUUGAACUAGAUGUUUCUACACUAUCAUAUACUCACACUCAUCCCUACAUUGCUUUCGAUACAAGAUAUUCUCUUGAUCAAUUAAAGACCAGAGAUAAUAACUUCAGUGUGUCUUUAUGACAAACAGAUGUUCAGGCCUAUCAGUUGAAUGGGUCACUGUUUUGGCCCCUUGGUGUAAGCAACCUUAUUUCACUGACAUUGCUGAUACUUUUUGAAAUGGUAUCAACACAACAACUUUCUAUUUUUCUAAACUUAAUGUUGCAACUUUGAUGUCUUUAGAAACACCUUUGCAUAAGUUCCAUUAUAGUUGACAUGUAGACAGGUGUUGCUUUGUUCCCUUUCACAAGACAAUUAGCUCUAAUUACCCAGCAAGGUCUUUGUAUGUUAUCAAUAUAAUUUUCAUUAUAAUGAGGUUUAUUUCUUAAUUAUUAUUUUCAUCUGUUGUUUUAUGGAAUUCUGCUCAGUUUAAUUUUGCUUCCAACGAAACCCUUUCUUUAGUCUAAGAAACAUUUUAGACUGUCUCAAUAAAAGUAUUAUUUAGUCUUCAUAUCAUUUUUUACAUUGUAUUAAGGACUUCCUGGAUAAUUCUUGUUAAACCCCAUAAACAUGUUUUCUGAACUGCCUCUAACCCCAAAUUACGAUCAAGUUUUUCAAGGGACUUCAGAUGUCUGAUAGAAAUGGGGGAGAAACACUGACAAAACCGUUUUUUAUUAAAUCAUUUAAGAGUUAUUUUAAUAUCAACUUGGUUAUAUUUCAGAAAUUAUGGCAUCAAAUCAAAUAUAA
Molecule: long non-coding RNA, 1691 nt
Filed under: Octopus sinensis (East Asian common octopus)
Lineage: Eukaryota; Metazoa; Mollusca; Cephalopoda; Octopoda; Octopodidae
Description: uncharacterized LOC118768040
Source: RNAcentral